This is an RNA transcript of Stegodyphus dumicola, 565 nucleotides long. RefSeq lists it as uncharacterized. The record is from RefSeq and is a predicted model, not a curated record. Lineage: Eukaryota; Metazoa; Arthropoda; Arachnida; Araneae; Eresidae.
AAGAUUAAUGGAUGUAAAAUAGACAUGAUGAUAAGUCCUCUCACUCCUGAUUGUAAGUUAUCUAUCCCCUUUUUUCAACUUUCAGACAUUUCCAAGCCACUGUACUAAAUCAUCGGUAGUACGAAACUUGCUAUGAAAUUCUAGCAUUUUGUAUAGGUAUUCGUCUUUCAGAAGUUACAAAUAUGUGCGAAUGCAUAAGUACUGGAUUUAUAUUUCUUUACCUCUGGGUAGGUGUCCUUAUUGCUGGAUUUUUCUUCAGUAUGACUUUCCUUUUCGUCAAUUUAUGUUUGAACAGAAAGCCUAAGUCUAGACAAGGCUUCGUUACUGGAAAUGUCCGAAAUGAAAGAUUUAAUAUUCAACAAGGUACACCAACUAUCACCGGCUACCAGAAUCCUUCAAGAUAUGUCCAAGGCACUUAUGGACCUCCCUAAAAUGUACUACCACGCUAAAUAUCAACUGCACCUCAUUAUUAGAAAAAGUGAUCAAAGGAGAAAUUUAUUCAUAUUCAAGCUCGUAAUGUUAUUGAAUUCAUAUCUGGUUAAAUAAAAGAAAUAAUAAUUUUCUU